GGGGUCGUAGCUCAAUUUGGUUAGAGCAUCGCCCUGUCACGGCGAAGGUUACGGGUUCGAGCCCCGCCGACCCCG
RNAcentral lists this transfer RNA (75 nucleotides) under Candidatus Gottesmanbacteria bacterium. RNAcentral's name for it is "tRNA-Asp". It matches the Rfam family "tRNA". Rfam says of the family: Transfer RNA (tRNA) molecules are approximately 80 nucleotides in length. Their secondary structure includes four short double-helical elements and three loops (D, anti-codon, and T loops). Lineage: Bacteria; Candidatus Gottesmaniibacteriota. The record is from RNAcentral.